Molecule: ribosomal RNA, 498 nt
Filed under: uncultured bacterium
Lineage: Bacteria
Description: partial 16S ribosomal RNA
Rfam family: Bacterial small subunit ribosomal RNA
Source: RNAcentral
AUUGAACGCUGGCGGCAUGCCUUACACAUGCAAGUCGAACGGUAACAGGUCUUCGGAUGCUGACGAGUGGCGAACGGGUGAGUAAUACAUCGGAACGUGCCUAGUAGUGGGGGAUAACUACUCGAAAGAGUGGCUAAUACCGCAUGAGAUCUACGGAUGAAAGCAGGGGAUCGCAAGACCUUGUGCUACUAGAGCGGCCGAUGGCAGAUUAGGUAGUUGGUGGGAUAAAAGCUUACCAAGCCGACGAUCUGUAGCUGGUCCGAGAGGACGAUCAGCAAGACUGGGACUGAGACACGGCCCAGACUCCUACGGGAGGCAGCAGUGGGGAAUUUUGGACAAUGGGCGAAAGCCUGAUACAGCAAUGCCGCGUGCAGGAUGAAGGCCUUCGGGUUGUAAACUGCUUUUGUACGGAACGAAAAGCCCCGGGUUAAUACCCUGGGGUCAUGACGGUACCGUAAGAAUAAGCACCGGCUAACCACGUGCCAGCCGCCGCCGUAA